UUUGCCCAUGCUCCCCUAUUUAUUUGCUUAUUUAAUAUCAGUAUGGACUCACAUAUAUUUAUUUUAUACUUUCAAUCUGUUUUUUCACGGUGACUGUAAAUUCAUGUAUUUUUUUUUUAAUGCAGAAAACAUACAAACAACUGUGCUGUGUGAGAAACAAAUUCUAUGAUGGCAAGAUUCUCCCUCCACAGCUCUUCAUGACUGCCUUUGCGUAGGGUCAUCUUUGGCUUAUUGCUAUUCACCUGGCAACCUCACACAAGCUGUUUCAACUCUGCAGGCCUCAGUUUCCCCAUCUGAAUGAGAGAGUCUUCAUGGAGUGGUCUCAGAGGGGAAGAGGGGAUGAUGUUUGUAUGUUUAUAGGUAUACAGCUGUUCUGUUGCCUAUUUACAGAACUAAAGUCCUUAAGGGCAAGGGGUAUCUUCUCUUAUUUAUGUUGGAAAAUGAACCCAGAGCUAAUAGCCCUUGAGAACAUCACCUAAACGUAAUCUUUAUAUCCCCUCCCACAACCCCAGAUGGUUCUCCUGCCCUGCUGUGCUGCCUCUCUGCAUGGGAUUUGGUUCUGCUUUUCUCGAGUGUCUGACACCCACCCCAAGGCCCGGCAUUCAAGGCCUUGUCCUCCUUGGCCUCAUUUUUGUGCCUCUCAUCUACCUGUACUACGGCCACACAGACAUCCUUGUCACCCCCAUGAAUUUCAGUGCUUACGGUAUCGCCCUCCUCUGUGCCAGGCCCUGGGCUGGGCGCCAGGCCACAGAGAUGAACCAGAGAGGGGCUCUGAGUCAGAGCUCACAGUCCAAUGUGGGCGCCAAGUCCUCGAUCCAUAGCAAUCUGACAUACAGAGGGAUGAGUGGAGCACUGUGGGAGCACAGUGGAGGGAGGGCCUGGCCUGGAGAGAAUCAGAAAGGCUUGGCAAAGAUGCUAACUUCUGAGCUGGGCUUUGACAGGUGUAUGGGAGUUUACGGGGUAGUGAAUGGGAGAAGGCGUAUUCCAGGCACAAAGAAAGGUAUGUGUGUGUGAACCAGAGAAAUGGCAGAGACCAGGGAACAAUCAUAAGUGUCAUGUGUCUGGAGCCAAAGUUCAGGAAGAAAGAAGGGCCCGAAGUGAGACAGGAGAGUGAGGUGGGGACCUCUGUGAGGAGCCUCAAUUCUGGGCUGGCAGUUUCUACUUGCGGAAUUUCAAAGGUGUUUUUCUUUUGUUUUUUUUGUUUUUGUGAGGAAGAUUGGUCCUGAGCUAACAUCUGUUGCCAAUCUCUUCCUCUUCUUGCUUGAGGAAGAUUGUUGCUGAGCUAACAUCUGUGCCAGUCUUCCUCUAUUUUACGUGGGAUGCUAUCACAGUGUGGCUUGACAAGUGGUGCUAGGUCUGUGCCCAGAAUCCGAACCCGCGAACCCCGGGGUGCUGAAGCAGAGUGUAGGAACUUAACUACUGUGCCACCAGACCGGCCCCUAAAGGUUUCAAGCACAGAGUCUGCACAGAGCGGGAACUCAGCGCCCGGCACUGGAGGAGUGGAUUAGAAGGCAGAGCACAUGCUUCAUGGGAGUGGCCACCUUGUCUGUCUUCUCUGCUGCGUCUCCACUGCCCGGCACAGCGCUUGGCCCCCAGCAGGGCCGCAUCUAUAGGUGCCAAACAAUCGGCUGCCCCUCGGCGCCUCCGGGCUGGCCGCUGAGAGCCUGGCAGCCACGCGCAGGCCCGCGCGGCAGGAGAGGCUACCCCACGCAGCCGACAGAUGUGUGGGACCAGAGCUGAGGCCGCUCUCCACAUUGACCUGCAGAGUGACCUCUCUGACCCCUAGGAUCCAACCUUACCACAGCAGGCAGAAAGCCUUUUACUGGCUCCCAGUGUCCCGGAUGAAGCCCACACGCCGUAAAUGAUGAUGAAGAUGAAGGUGGUAGCUACCACAUACCUCUCUCACAACCCCCACAACAGUCCUGCAAGGCAGGCGAGGAUCACUGUCCUCAUUUGUCAAAUGAAAAUCUGAUGGCUCAGAGAGGUUCAGUGACUCACCCGAGGUUACUCAGCCAGCGAGCUGCAGACACAGGCACCAAGCCCAGGGCUGUGGGCUGAUUGUUUGAUGGGCAUUCGAGGCCUGUCAGCCUCCCUCGCCAGAGAAGUUGCCAGGCUCAUCCAGGUGCCCAGGCAUCAGCCUCGUCUGACUCAGCAAGGAGCAAGUCGGAGGCGGCUGCUUGCCCGUCAGACUGCUGUUUUCUGCCUGAGAAGCAUCACUUGCUGUAGCCUCUUUCUCUUCUGCUCCCCAAGGAUCAUUCCGCAUCUGGGGGGAGUCAUUUUCCACAGAGUCAAGAGUUCUGAAAACUCGCUUUAUUGUUGUACACUGAAAACGGAUACCAUGUUAUAUGUGAGUUAUAUCUCAAUUAAAAGUCAGGUUAUAUUAGUGUACACAGCAACAGUAGAAGCUAACAUUUAUGCGGCAUUGAACGUCAAGACCGUGCUAAGUGCUUCACAUGCAUUGUCUCACUUUGUAAGGUCCAUUAAUUUAUUUAUUUGAAUAAGGACCCUCUACACGUGAUUAAAAGAAAGAGAGAGAUGGAUUACAAAAAGGCAUUUGGUGAAAAGUCAGUCUCUUUCCUCCUCUGCACUCCUGUCUCCCACGUCCCCUCCCAGAGACCAGUGUGACCAGCUCCUCGGGUGUCCUGCAGAGUCCCGAGUUACUACUAUCUCAUUUAAUCCUCUCAUCAGCCCUUUGAAGUAGGUAUUAUUAUCCUUGUAUUACAUAUCAGGACACUGAGGUUCAGAGACAGGAAGCCACAUACUCAAGGUCACACAGCUUCCACUUACUCAAGUGGCUGAGCUGGGGUUUCUCCCCAGAUGGACUGCCUCUCACCCUGUAGGCCUCCCUGCCUCCCACAAGGAGGUGAAAACCAGAAAGUUGAGCUGAGAAGCGUGUGCUGGGCAAUCGGCUGGACACCCUCGUUGACAGGCUUUUGCUCCACAUACCAAUCUUGCAGCAAAGAAUUCAAACUUGGACCUCAGUAAAAUGACAAAUUCUGACCCGUCAUAGGCCUUCGAGGUUAUUGACCCAUAGUCAAGACCUCAGAUUUUCCAACCCUGAAUAGUCUUCCGUUCCUGCUGUUUCCUGCCUUCUUGCUCCUUUGCGCCCUUGGUUUGCCCUUCAGUGACGUCGGCUCCGACCAGCUGCUCAGUGUGACUAAGGGUUCGCGGGGCAGGAUAGGAGGCGCACAGCCAUGCAGCUCUAAAACCUGGGUUCUGCCUCAGCUCCGCCCCGCUGGCCCGCCUGGCUGGGCGGGUCCUGUCACUUCUCUGCCUCCAUGUCUUCACUCGCAAGAUAGGAAGAAUUACAUCUAACUUAAAAGGUUUGAGGAUCCUCAAGUGAGGUGAUAGGCCAGUGGCAAGUAGCAAAGCCUCAUGCAAAUAUCGUUAUGUUUAGUAACAAUAAAAGUUGGAGUAAAUCUGGUCGCUCUACGGUGAAAAAGAGCUGGCUAAAUUCGCAGCUACUGUGUUCCCUUCUUUCCAUCCCCCCCACCAAC
RNAcentral lists this long non-coding RNA (3497 nucleotides) under Equus caballus (horse). RNAcentral's name for it is "lncRNA (ENSECAG00000045591.1)". The record is from RNAcentral. Lineage: Eukaryota; Metazoa; Chordata; Mammalia; Perissodactyla; Equidae.